RNAcentral lists this ribosomal RNA (252 nucleotides) under uncultured bacterium. RNAcentral's name for it is "partial 16S ribosomal RNA". It matches the Rfam family "Bacterial small subunit ribosomal RNA", at positions 524 to 775 of the family's 1533-position model. The record is from RNAcentral.
GACGAACCGUGCGAACGUUGUUCGGAAUCACUGGGCUUAAAGGGCGCGUAGGCGGACCACCAAGUCCGGGGUGAAAUCCUCCGGCUUAACCGGAGAAUUGCCUGGGAUACUGGUGGUCUUGAGGGAGGUAGGGGCACGCGGAACUUCCGGUGGAGCGGUGAAAUGCGUUGAUAUCGGAAGGAACGCCGGUGGCGAAAGCGGCGUGCUGGCCCUCUUCUGACGCUGAGGCGCGAAAGCCAGGGGAGCGAACGG